RNAcentral lists this ribosomal RNA (831 nucleotides) under uncultured bacterium. RNAcentral's name for it is "bacterial SSU rRNA". It matches the Rfam family "Bacterial small subunit ribosomal RNA", at positions 193 to 1038 of the family's 1533-position model. The record is from RNAcentral.
UUUUUAUAUUAAAGGUUACGGUACAAGAUGAGUAUGCGUCCUAUUAGCUAGUUGGUAUGGUAACGGCAUACCAAGGCAACGAUAGGUAGGGGCCCUGAGAGGGGGAUCCCCCACACUGGUACUGAGACACGGACCAGACUCCUACGGGAGGCAGCAGUGAGGAAUAUUGGACAAUGGGGGGAACCCUGAUCCAGCCAUGCCGCGUGCAGGAAGACUGCCCUAUGGUUGUAAACUGCUUUUGUACGGGAAGAAACCGCUCUACGCGUAGAGCCUUGACGGUACCGUAAGAAUAAGCAUCGGCUAACUCCGUGCCAGCAGCCGCGGUAAUACGGAGGAUGCAAGCGUUAUCCGGAAUCAUUGGGUUUAAAGGGUCCGUAGUGGGCCGGUCAGUCAGAGGUGAAAUCCUGCAGCUCAACUGUAGAACUGCCUUUGAUACUGCCGGUCUUGAAUCGUUGUGAAGUGGUUAGAAUAUGUAGUGUAGCGGUGAAAUGCAUAGAUAUUACAUAGAAUACCGAUUGCGAAGCAGAUCACUAACAGCGUAUUGACACUGAUGGACGAAAGCGUAGGUAGCGAACGGGAUUAGAUACCCCGGUAGUCUACGCCGUAAACGAUGGAUACUAGCUGUCCGGCUUCGGCUGGGUGGCUAAGCGAAAGUGAUAAGUAUCCCACCUGGGGAGUACGUUCGCAAGAAUGAAACUCAAAGGAAUUGACGGGGGCCCGCACAAGCGUGGAGCAUGUGGUUUAAUUCGAUGAUACGCGAGGAACCUUACCAGGGCUUAAAUGUAGACUGACAGCUUUAGAGAUAGAGUUUUCUUCGGACAGUUUACAAGG